UUUUUUUUUUUUUUCCCUGAUACUUAAAGUAUGGCAAGUAGUCCAGUCUUUACUCCUUCUGUUUAUCCCUGCUUCCUAUUCCAGAAGCACUAGCACAGUAAGACUGCCAGCAUCUGCUAGAGCUGGUCAAAUAUAGGUAUGACAAUAACUGCAAUAAAAAAAAAGGAAAAGAAAUAUUAGUCCAUAACCUUGUAUGUCUAUAGGGAAUUUUAUUAUUCAGCUAGAGAGCUACAGCUUUUUUUCCUGGUGUCAUGACCUGCUUGAUAGGGGGCAUGGUGUUCAUUAUAAAUUCUUGUCAGGUUGAACAAACACACCAGUUCAUGUGUCAGAGAAUCUUCUGCUUUACUGUAGAAUUGUUUUAAAUCUGGCAGCUAGCCCACUACAUAGUCUCAAAAGCCUUGGCUCAAGCCCUUAAUUUUUACAGCACAUUUCAACAAGAUCCCAACUCUCUCAGACAAACGUCUAUAUAGAAUCAUGGGUGUAAUAUGACAGCCACACUUUUCCAAGACAAAGCAAGACAGGAGAGAAAUAAAUGCAGAAGAAAGAGAAGAAAGAAGAUCACUAAGUCUUAGAUCCCGAGUUGGUCCUGCUGCAUGGGUGGUCCAGAUCUGGGGUAGUGAGACAAAGAGAAAGGGAUGAAAAACAGAGUGGGGACUGAUCUACUUCAUUUUAUAGUUAACCUGCUGCAUACUUCUCAUGCAAACUGGAUUUUUCAUGCCAUUUGGUCCACACCAGCCAUUUCAAGCCCUUCAGGAACUGACUUGCUAUGGGAAGAGUUGAUGCAGGUGCAAUGAGCAUAAGCCUCAAGGCAGAAAAAAAGUUAGAUCACCUCUUGUCCAAUGACAACUUUCCAGUCGUGACAGUCAGAAUGUUUGAGAAAAAAAUGUUCUUACGUGCUUAUGGCUGAUCCUCCACAUCUGGUCACAUGAGACUGAAGCUGUGGUACAGUAAUUCAAAACAUUGAUUGGAUGUAAGAAAUGUAAGAAAGAAUCUAUUGAGGAAAUACAAUAGUUUAAACUAAAGUUUAAACAAGAUAAAGUAAGUAGUAGUUUCUUGAAAAAAAAACCAAAACAAAGCAAGCAAACAAAGCAAAAUAAUCAAACUCAAAUGUACUGGAAAAAAUAUCCAAGAAAGUCCCUUCCAUACAUCGUGCCACUGAUGAUAUGUGAAGUGAGUUGUGCUGAUCACACAGCAAGUUUGAAUUGGAAACCCUAAUUGCCCAGGGAUCUUGGAAUUCAUCACAAACUGGCCUGAAGUUGAAAAUUUUGGACUGUUGUCAUCAGAGGAAGAAGAAAAGGUGACAUGUGCUGGUGUGGCCCCACCAUGCAAUCAGCUAUCCAAAUAUGAAUAGUGAUGCGCUCUCUUCACUGGUGGUUCCUGACAUACUGUAGGAAUACAUAAGAAAUAGGAAACUUCUAUAUGGUGACACAUGCAGUGAGUGACAGAAGCUUUUGAGGGACAAGGUGGAUCAAGUCAGGUUUCAGAUCUGAAAGCUGUACAGCUGGUUUUGGAUGUUGCUGAACAAAAGAAAUGGCCAGCACUUUACCUCUCCGCUGACCCGUGGAUGGUAGAAAAUGCUCUGUGGUGUUGUCUUCCUCAGGAAACAGUCAUCCACAAACUUCUCCAAUGUGAGUCCAUGCCGUGGGCAACAGUUCUCCACAAACUGCUGCAAUGUGGGUCACUAUUCCAUGCAGGGAGGCUGGGCUAAAUGACCUUUAAAAGUCCCCUCCAACCCAAAUUAUGGUGUGAUAGACAGCACAUGUUGCAGCCAUUUAACUCGCAGAGGUUUACUCCGGGCUACUCCUUUGGAGAGGAUGGGCUGUCCUGUCCUGCCUUCCAGAUACUUCUUUUUGAAUAUACCCUCUUAAUUUUAAUUUCAAAUAGUUGUCACAGCAUUGCUUUGGUUUUGCUGAACCUUCUUAGGACUCUGAAUAGGGAAUUGUUUAAGUGCCUCUAAAACUGCUUACUGUGAAACAGAAGCAUUUAUUCUGUUACUAGAGGUAAUCUGUUUUUCUGUGUGCUUCUGUGGGUUUGGGAGAUUCUUUUGCAUAUCGAUACUGAGGCAUCACCUAUCUAAUCUUGUGGGAAACCCUUCCAAAUUUGUCAAGGUACUCCAGCACUGCUACCUCAGACUUCUCAGCACCCAGGAAAGAUGCUGUCUAGGGAAAGCUUGCACAGCUGGAACAAUCUCUGGGAGUAUAAACCACAGUGGGAUUAAAGAACAUGAACAAACUGAUAUGUGAGAACAAAUAUGAUGUGCAGAGGCUGUGAGUGACAUCCAGUGGGGCUUUCUCAUCCAAGGCAACCAAGGUAGAGAAGCUGAAAUAUUUCCUAAGCCUAAACUAGCCCCCAAACUUUAAAGCCAACAAUAGGUCUUUGCUUCUUGACCAUAAAUGUGGAAGCAGGCAGAUCACGUUCCUGCAGCUUUGAGAAGGACUCCUACACUUUGGUUCAGUGUCAGGGCAAACAGCCACGCUGGGGCUCCAGGUCGAGCUGCAGAGGCAAAUUUCACCAGCAUUCAUUGAGGGAUCUGCAAACCCAAAAGAAAAUAACCUUGAAUGCCAAUUCCUAAGCCAUGCCAUUCCAAAUAAAAAUCAUAAACUGUAGUAGGAGGUAUAAAUUCCAUAUUGACAUUCUGCUCCAGCCUCAAGCAUUGGAGAAUAACACACUGUUUAGGCUGCUGAAUGAGUGCUCUGUGUGCACUGAGUCAUUAAAAACCUGUGGAAUAGUCAGCCAUGGCUGCACAAAAAUAAAUAUACAGCUGACUGUAAGUAAUCCCUUCACCUGCUUUUUCAAGUAGAAUUUUAUUAAGAUGUUUUUAAAAGGGAAUGUUGGUUUUUUGUGUUUUUUUUUUUUUUUUUAAACACAGAGAUUUUGGUAUAUUUGAAUUGAAACCAUAUGUCAGUUUAUGCUGUUCACAUACAACAUCUGACUAGUUUUAAGUUUAAUACAUUGUUAAAAACAACUAAAUAAAAAUCUGAGUGAAUUUGUUAGGAUACAAAAAGGACAUUUAUCAACUCUUAAAAACAGAUCUGUAAAUACAAUGAAUUUUACUAUAGAAGCAUGAGGAAGGUUAUUCUUUUUACACUACAGUUGGAAAGAUAUGGCUGAAAGGAGAUAAAACUAGUUAAAUCAUAUGAUUUUUUUUUUUUUUACAUUUCCCAUCUCAUCUUUCUUUUAUCUGCACAGAGGGGAUACUAUUACUUUUAUUUCAGUUUUACCUCAGGCAGGAAGGCUCUCUGUGGAGACAUGUUUAAUAAAACUACAUAUAUUUGGUUAGCCUAAACAGGUAGGCUCCUCCUUUAAAUUCACAAGAAAACAAUUUAGAAGAUUAGUGAGGAGAGGAAAUUUGAUGAAUAAUCAGUAAAAAUGUGUCAGGAUCUAGCUUUUAUUCAGGAAUUCAUGCCUGAUCUUAACAUAUAAGAUUAUGUAUAAAUCAGAAAAUACCAUCCUUAUAAAGAUGGUAAAACUGGAAAUUCUUAAGUGUGUUUAAAUUGUUGGGGAAUUGACCUGAAGAACAGGCCUGGCAAAAUCCGGCUUUCAGAAAAUUUAUGUUCUCAAGACCUUGCCUCAAAUGAAUUCAUUAGAUCACAGGUCUACAAAACCUGAGAAACUGUGUAAAUGGAUUAAUCCCAUUGGAGAUGACAUCAACAUUUCCUCACCAAACUCUUAAAGACUUCUUCCAAGGCUUUCAUUUAAAUUCAUUGCUACCCCUGCCUGAGAAGGCCAUGUCAGAUUGUAAACUUCCUCUACUUUGUGAGACAGGGAGAGAAGGAAAAAGAAACUUUUGGGGAUUUUAAAACCUUAUCUUACUCCUAACAGGUUAGAUGGAAGGAGAAAGCAUUUUUUAUGAAUAAUUAGUGAACUGUGUUUCUGUAACAACUGCAAAGUAUGUGUUUCCACACGCAGCCUUUUCAUGCUUACAGAGAACAUUAAAAAUAACACAGAAAGGAUUGAAAAUCAAAUCAACAUGUUAAAAGCAUGAGAUGCUGUCUCUAUAACAAACCACAUUUACAGUAAUUGGAAAAUUUCUCCAUGUGCUGGCCAGUAAUGAUGUUUAAGUGUUUUCAUUUCCAAUGAAGAAGUGUUAUUAUUUCCACUUCAGGAACCUUGCCAAAGAGAUCCUAGCAAUAUCCCUUUUGGGGUUCAGGGUUUUUCAUCAACAGGCAGAAACUGUACUACUAAAAUACUAGUACAUUUUUAUCCUACUUUGACUCUCUUUUAACCUUUUCCCUUCUUAGGAAGUAUCCAGUUGCAUCUUUAUAAAAGCUUCACUUUAUAAAACAAACUGAGCAUAGCCUCAGUUUUCUGCUUUAAGGAAAUUAUAUUUCCAUCAAAUAAAUCAGCACCCACUACAGAGAUGGGGCUGUGGUAAAAUCUUUUUCCAUAAUUUUUUGCCAAGGCCAAGGUCAUUUUGGUGUUGGCUCAAACUGAAGUAGGUUCAAUAUUAAUUGCAAACUCUUCUGAGACAAACAGCCUGACAGAUCUUUUCCAUUAGUUGUAUUCACAUUCAGCCUCAUACCCAAUCUUUCUAUAGCUACUUUUGUUUUUUAAAUUUCGUUUUCUGUAAUGCUUAUCCAAAACAGAACAGUGUUAAUGGACUCAGAGGAUUCUGUGCCCAGAUACAGAUGUGAUUUCAGCCUGAAAUUUGUGAAGGAGAAAAGGGUUAUCAUAAUCAGUUAGCUUGAAUAAGCUAACAUUAAAGUUGUUUUCUCUACAAAUUUGUUUUUGAGAUAUCUGUUGGUCAGCUGUUCCAAUUCUGAAUUAAAUAUGCCUUUUUGAGAAAUUCAAAAUUUCAGUGAAACCCCAGACAUUCCUCUGGUCCUGAAAUAUUCAGUAUGGUUUGUGCUUCAGAAUACUGAUUCUGAAUUUCUGCUUGUAUUGCAAAGUUAUACUGAAUUAAUACUAAAUGUGUUAUAAAAGCUUCAUUUCCCAAAUCUUUUUUUCACUUUACAGAAUUUCUGGUAUGUUCUUACGGCAAUUUUCCUACAAAAAUCCCUGGCAGUGCUCCUUCAUGGACUAUUUCACGCUCCCCCCCCCCCCCCCCCCCCCCCACUUGAUGCCAUUUAAGCAUUUAGCACUGCGCCCUACAACUAGAAAUUACAUACAUAUAAUUUUUAGUCUUGUUUUAGAACAAGGUUUCUUUAUGUAAAGGCAUAGUACAGUUCAUAGCAGGAAAACAGAAGCCAGUAGUCAGAAAACAUUUAUACUCGGAAGCCUGUGGGGCCUUUAGGACCAUAUAACAUAUUUCUGUUCUCCAAAUAAACGGCCAUUUACAUCUGAAAUAUUCUGAUGUUGCAAAGUUUACCAUGAUCUACAACAGAAAUAGCAACUACAUGUGAGCCAAAAACCAAAGAUGGAGCAAAGCUUGCAGAAGAAAAUGUAUACAACUGAAAUCAUCUAAGUCCAGCACUGAGCUGUGCAUUUGCCAUCAGUUUAUAGGCAAUUUCUGGGCUGGAGGCUGAUUUUGGUGCUGCUUAAUCAGGUUAUGCAGUGUAAUUUCUAUAGUUCUUUAUAUUACUUUAAACUUGGUUUAAAAUGUUCAGUGGAAAAACAGUGGCUUUACCACAGCAGAGUAUAUAAUGCCAAGUAUUUGUAAGACAACAGUACCAGUAUGCUGCUUUAUUUUUGGCUUCCUGUACUUUUUCCUCAUUUAUACAGCAGGAACUUUUAAAUGCUUGGGUUGGCAUGGAGGAUAAAAUACUGAAAUCAACCAGUAUUUUGACAAUGCCCAGGAUUUAAAUGAGGGCCUUCAUGGGAGCAUGCCACAAAGGAAGAUCUGUUUCUUGGAUGCAUCCCAAAAGCUCCCCAGAUACCAAAUGUAAUGCAGCAAUCCCUAUGGACUCCCAGCAGAAAAUGCAACAUUCAUCAGAAAAGCAGCUUGCUCACUUCCCUGGUUCUCUGCACCCCAGGUUUCUGGUAUUCCUGAUAAAUUCCCUUCUGUCUUCCUUCAGUUUUAUUGCCCUCUGGACUUCCAGUUAUUGCCAGAAAUUACAAAGUUCUACACUGACUGAUUUUUAUGUUGUUUCUUCAGGCUUUGCUGUGGUGUGCCUGCUGCUGUUAACUGUGAUGACAAUUUCAGACCCUUCAACUCAAGUCUUGAUAGAGAAAGGUGAUUGUUACUUUCAUGUAAUAUCUUUCAGAACAAAAAACCAACAACAACUUGAUUUUCAUUUGUAUGCACAUGGUUUCAUGGACAGUUUAAGGGUAUUCACAUUAGAUUAUCUCAUUGCAGUCUUGAGACUUUUGUCUUUUAGGUGUGAUUUUUUGAAUGAAUAGUGGCUACUCAUUCACAGUCCUGUUCUGUCAGUGUGAGCCCUCAUAUUUUUCACCAUUUGAUGCUUUUCAGUUAAAACUUAGAAUUCUGUUGCCUUGUAAUCCUGACCUGUAAUACGUAUUGCCUUGUAUCAGGCUGUGGUGUAUCUUUCAAGUUCCAGUUUUUAUCAAACCUAUGCCCACUGAGUCACUAAGACUGCAGAUCCCAAAUUGCAGAUUUCCUUCAAAAAUAGACAUUCCAAGUCUGCUUUCUAUUGGGGUGAGACUAUUUGGAUAUAAAAUUUAAAUUAAACCUGGAUAAUGUGUGCCCAAUUGAAAACAGCAUUGGCAGGCAGCAGCUGCAGCAGGGAAGAGCAUAUAUCUCUUAGUCUCUAAAUAUACAAAGAGAGAAGGCUAGGGGUUUUUUUGUUUGUUUUUUUUUUUUUUUUUACUCUCUGUGGCACUGGUGAAAGCAUAACCAUGCUGACAAAGCUAUAGCUGGGUGAUUUAUGGUGCAGUACUUCCAUGAGGAGAUAUCAAAAGGGGAGUCCAGUAGAACCCAAGUACCAGCCAAAUCAGCUGCCUGUCAGUAAUACCAGCCUGGGUAGAAAUGGAUGGAGACAAUGUACUAUG
RNAcentral lists this long non-coding RNA (6888 nucleotides) under Taeniopygia guttata (zebra finch). RNAcentral's name for it is "lncRNA (ENSTGUG00000029013.1)". Lineage: Eukaryota; Metazoa; Chordata; Aves; Passeriformes; Estrildidae. The record is from RNAcentral.